GGCGUAGUAGGAUAAUGGUUAGUCUCUCUGACUUUCAAUCAGAGUUGUGCGGGUUCGAGUCCCGUCUACGCUA
Molecule: transfer RNA, 73 nt
Filed under: Candidatus Vecturithrix granuli
Lineage: Bacteria; Candidatus Moduliflexota; Candidatus Vecturitrichia; Candidatus Vecturitrichales; Candidatus Vecturitrichaceae
Rfam family: tRNA
About the family: Transfer RNA (tRNA) molecules are approximately 80 nucleotides in length. Their secondary structure includes four short double-helical elements and three loops (D, anti-codon, and T loops).
Source: Rfam by way of RNAcentral